AGUGGAGCUGCUGCUGAAGCUUUACCCCAGAUACCACUUCAAAAGGCAGGUUGUCUGACCCUUUACUCUCCAUCUCACACACUACUCAGCAGUUUUCCCCUUAGACCAUUCCUCUGUCACACACUGUCCUUCAACACACAAACAAGCACACGCAUCCAUCAAACCAACCAACGUAAAUCAGUCCAACUCAUCGUAGACCAUGCAUGGUAACGUUUAUUCCAGACAUGCAGAAUGUUCACAACAGAGAUGGAAACCAGCACAUAGAAUAUAUUUAUAUAUAUAUAUAUAUAUAAAUAUAUUCUAUCCAAAAUGGGAAAAAAUCUGCACAUAAAGAAAAUGAUAGACAUGAUUUUGAAAGUCACUGUUUUACUGACACAGCACGUAUGCAUCUCGCAGCAGAAAGACGGCCAGAGAAUGAUGUGACAGAACAGUGCGGAAGGUGAGUGGGAACUAUUUCAUGCAUAGACAAAUUACCAUAAAAAUGUGUCUUAUGGGUAUUAAGUUGAAUUGUCUCUUCAAUGGCAGACUGAGUCACUGAAUUUCCCCUGCUAGAUUGGGGUCUCUCUCUCUCUGCCAUUUGCUCUUACUGUAUGACAUAGAGCAGCCAUCUACUUUCUCCCCAAAGUCAGGUUUCUAAAAGCCCUUUAGGAGUGUGUGAGAAGUUUCCAGACUGAGGCAUGUCUGUUGCCCAAAGAUAAACAUUAGAGCUCUUUAGACAGGGAUGUCUCUUCAGCCCAUCUGUCCAGUGAAGCACGCUGUGGCUACAGUAGCUUCCUACUGUGCAAUAUAACUUGUAUUACCAAAAGGGCAGCAAGUUUGUUAUCAUACCCAUAGAUGUACUGUAAGGCUGUCUUGAGUUCAGUGCCUUUAAACAUCAUGACCAUGUUGAAUCAUUCACCAGCUGUGGUCCUAUUUCUAUUUGUUGUUUCUAGAAAUACAGUACAGAUGCCUAAAAAUGUAACAUUGCCAGGUGUUCUGCUUUUAAUUGCUGUGACUUUCUGAUUAGAAAUGGUUUGUCAAUGCUCGCUUUGGGUUGGAUCUGGAGUGAUCUAGUGCUUUGCAUGCUUAGACAGGGGCGUUACUGGGGUUUUUUUCAGCAAGGAAUGAACCAAUAGGUGUUCAUAGUUUAAACCAUCACUUUAGAUCUCUUUGAAGAUUUUAAAUUCAGGCCAAAUAAAUGCAAUCAAAUCAUUAUCAUAUAAUUUUCUCUUUGGUCUCAUUUGUGCAGCUAACACCUACAUAAGCCCUUGAUAAUACAGGCAGUGGAAUCAAGAACUAUUGGCCAACUUAAAGUAUUGAAAUCAAAUUGGACUUCAGGAGAAUGUUAUGAGUAGUAAUAUGAACAUGAAUGUAAGUCCAAACAAGGCUGUUAUGAAGCAUUAUGUAGUUAUGAAGGUUUUAUAAGAGGUGUUAUGACCUUGUAGUAAACAUCUGAAGUGUGUCAAUAUAACAGUCCUUUGUUGUGUUACCGUAGUUGAAUCUGAACAAACUGUGUCUUAUUACAGAUCGCAUAGUGGCACAUUUGAAUACAGACAAAUUGGUGUGUUACAGUACAUGUACAGAGAGAACGGCUGCUAAUCAAUCAAACCUCAAAACAAUGUUCCUUUAACGUUACAGCAGGUCCUUACAGUGGCAUCCAAAAAUCUGGCUACUGUUUAGUCCAAAGCAUGCCUAUAUAAUAUUGCAUAUAUAUUCUUCAUAUAAAUACAUGUCAUACCGAUACAGCAGGGUGGCAAUAGGUUAAGGAUUUGUGUUGGUCUCUGUAGUACUACAAAAUGCAUUCAGUCAAACAAGCUAUGUUAACAGUCCCAGGUAAUGAGACAAGGUGCUGGAGUAGCAUGGGUUGUAUUUGGAGGGGGAGCUAGGGGGUCAGUGGGUAAGUGGGUUGUAUUUGGAUUGGGAACUAGGGGGUCAGUGGGUAAGUGGGUUGUAUUUGGAGGAGGAGCUAGUGGGUCAGUGGGUAAGUGGGUUGUAUUUGGAGGGGGAGCUAGGGGGUAAGUGGGUUGUAUUUGGAGGGGGAGCUAGGGGGUAAGUGGGUUGUAUUUGGAGGGGGAGCUAGGGGGUAAGUGGGUUGUAUUUGGAGGGGGAGCUAGGGGGUAAGUGGGUUGUAUUUGGAGGAGGAGCUAGGGGGUCAGUGGGUAAGUGGGUUGUAUUUGGAGGGGGAGCUAGGGGGUAAGUGGGUUGUAUUUGGAGGGGGAGCUAGGGGUCAGUGGGUAAGUGGGUUAUAUUUGGAGGGGGAGCUAGGGGGUCAGUGGGUAAGUGGGUUAUAUUUGGAGGGGGAGCUAGGGGGUCAGUGGGUAAGUGGGUUGUAUUUGGAGGGGGAGCUAGGGGGUCAGUGGGUAAGUGGGUUGUAUUUGGAGGGGGAGCUAGGGGGUCAGUGGGUAAGUGGGUUAUAUUUGGAGGGGGAGCUAGGGGGUCAGUGGGUAAGUGGGUUGUAUUUGGAGGGGGAGCUAGGGGGUCAGUGGGUAAGUGGGUUGUAUUUGGAGGGGGAGCUAGGGGGUCAGUGGGUAAGUGGGUUGUAUUUGGAGGGGGAGCUAGGG
This 2540-nucleotide long non-coding RNA is filed under the name Salmo salar (Atlantic salmon). RNAcentral's name for it is "lncRNA (ENSSSAG00000085572.1)". The record is from RNAcentral. Lineage: Eukaryota; Metazoa; Chordata; Actinopteri; Salmoniformes; Salmonidae.